This is a long non-coding RNA of Bos taurus (domestic cattle), 1271 nucleotides long. NCBI's taxonomy places the organism in Eukaryota, Metazoa, Chordata, Mammalia, Artiodactyla, Bovidae. The record is from Ensembl.
CUGCUCCUGAAGGGGUGGGGUGGGUAGCUGUAUUGUCUAGUCUACCCUCUCCUUUCUGAGGAGAGCCCAAGGCCAGUUAGUGGCUUGGCCUGGCCUCUGAGUCCGACACCUGCCUUACAUCAUGCUGUUCCUAGAUGUAGUUCUUAGGGGGAGGAGGAAGGGGGGCACUUACCUUGAUCUCCCCACCCUCAGUGUGACUCCAGCAGGGCUCUGACGACAGUACACAGCCCUAGUGGGGGAUUGAAGAUGGCCUGUAAGGAGGCAGGGCGAGGAGGGAAGAGCCUUGUGCAAAGGAAGACCAGAGACAGCUGAGCUUGGACCGCCCUCACCUGCAGAAAAUCAACACCAGGGCCCUUACCCUCAGACUAACGUUUCUUGUCGCUGCACCUCUCAGCAGCUCUGAUGGCUCGUAGGGUGCUGAGUGCCAUCCUGAUGUUUCAGUGCCCAGAAAGGUCAGCACAUCUCUUGGGUGAAUUUCAGAGGGGACUGAUAAACAUCUUGGGAGACUGGAAGAAAAGAUCAAAGGGAUCAGAGGAUGGCCAAUUUUUUGUGUAAGCUCAUUAGGUUUUAGGUAUGCUGGCACUCAAGAAUAAGAGAAGAACUUUCCAGUUACGAGCACCCAAGGACCAGAAGAGGAAGGAACACAUUUCAAAUGGAAUCUACCCAGUUGGAGACCAAAGAAGACUGUCCAAAUCUCUGUACUCAUCUUGGCUGUGGGGUCCUGUCACUCAGUCGUGUCUGACUCUGCGACUCCCAUGGACUUCAGCACACCAGGCUUCCCUGUCCUUCACGAUCUCCCGGAAUUUGCUCAAACUCAUCUCCAUUGAAUCAGUGAUGCUAUCCAACCAUCUCAUCCUGUGUCAUCCCCUUCUCCUCCUGCCUUCAAUCUUUGCCAUCAUCAGAGUCUUUCCCAAUGAAUCAGCUCUUCACAUCCAGUGGCCCAAGUAUUAGCACAACAUCCAUCAUCAAGUAGGCACUGGAUAAAGAGUGCCGCUCUUUGUCUCAUCAUAAUCUUGUCUUCGGGCUUCCUGGUGGUCCAGUGUUUAAGAAUCUGCCUGCCAACGCAGGGGACACGAUUCAGUCCCUGGUUGGGGAAGAUCCCACAUGCUGCGGGGCAGCUAAGCCCAGGAACACAACUACUGAAGCCCUCGCGUGCCUGUGUUCCGCAACUAGAGAAGUGGCCACAGUGAGAAGCCUAUGCACCUCAACUAGAGAAUAGCCCCUGCUCUCCACAGCUAGAGAAAAGCCCGUUCGCAACAACAAAGACCCAG